GCCCCCUUAGCUCAGCGGUAGAGCACUUCCAUGGUAAGGAAGGGGUCCGCGGUUCGAUUCCGCGAGGGGGCU
RNAcentral lists this transfer RNA (72 nucleotides) under Actinomycetes bacterium. RNAcentral describes it as "Actinobacteria bacterium (groundwater metagenome) tRNA-Thr". It matches the Rfam family "tRNA". Rfam says of the family: Transfer RNA (tRNA) molecules are approximately 80 nucleotides in length. Their secondary structure includes four short double-helical elements and three loops (D, anti-codon, and T loops). Lineage: Bacteria; Bacillati; Actinomycetota; Actinomycetes. The record is from RNAcentral. RNAcentral also lists the same sequence under 1 other name.